UUCAGUAACUGUCAACCAUGUAUUGGUUUGAAGAAAGAUCUACAGCUUUCAAAAAUAAUAAUAAACACAAACUGAAUUUCUAUUUCAAUAAAAUUUUAUAUAGUUAUGGAAUGAACUAUGAAACGCCAAAUGCAAGAAUCUGAUAUCACCGAAGACCAUCAGAAUCUGAUAUCACCGAAGACCAUCAAUACAGCAUCAUUCCAGUAAUUCAAUACCUGUAUUUUUUUCCUUUUAAUAUUUACUCUAGAUGUGUUUGUGAAGCUUAUGUGGAAAGUUGGUGAUAUGAGCAGCAAAACUAUGCACGAUGGAAUAUGUUGCCAAUGACUGGAGCAGCAGUUGAGUGAGACCAAUUAUUUCAAGACCAUCAGCAGGUAACGAGUGAAGUAAUUACAAUGAAGCAUUUGAGUGAAGUAAUUAUGAUGAACAAAUAGAUAGUCAAAGCACUGACAGCAUGUGCAUUGACAACCAUGCAACAUGAAGACAGAAUGACAAAGGGGCAGAAUAUUCUGGCUAGGUCUAAAAAGAGCUGCAAAACAAGAUUAUAAAAAAGGAAUGGGGGAGAAAUAGAAAAAUUGCUUGAAGCAUGCUAACAAA
This 594-nucleotide long non-coding RNA is filed under the name Phoenix dactylifera (date palm). RNAcentral describes it as "long non-coding RNA (PDAC_LNC020978)". Lineage: Eukaryota; Viridiplantae; Streptophyta; Magnoliopsida; Arecales; Arecaceae. The record is from RNAcentral.